CUCUGUCACUCCUACGGGAGGCAGCGAUGGGGGAAUAUUGCACAAUGGGCGCAAGCCUGAUGCAGCCAUGCCGCGUGUGUGAAGAAGGCCUUACGGGUUGUUAAAGCACUUUCAGCAGUGAGGAAGGCGGAGUCGUUAAUAGCGGCCUCGUUUGACGUUAGCUGCAGAAGAAGCACCGGCUAACUCCGUGCCAGCAGCCGCGGUAAUACGGAGGGUGCGAGCGUUAAUCGGAAUUACUGGGCGUAAAGCGCAUGCAGGUGGUUUGUUAAGUCAGAUGUGAAAGCCCGGGGCUCAACCUCGGAAUAGCAUUUGAAACUGGCAGACUAGAGUACUGUAGAGGGGGUAGAAUUUCAGGUGUAGCGGUGAAAAUGCGUAGAGAUCUGAAGGAAUACCGGUGGCGAAGGCGGCCCCCUGGACAGAUACUGACACUCAGAUGCGAAAGCGUGGGGAGCAAACAGGAUUAGAUACCCUGGUAG
This 476-nucleotide ribosomal RNA is filed under the name uncultured bacterium. Its description in RNAcentral is "bacterial SSU rRNA". It matches the Rfam family "Bacterial small subunit ribosomal RNA", at positions 328 to 793 of the family's 1533-position model. The record is from RNAcentral.